AGAGUUUGAUCAUGGCUCAGAUUGAACGCUGGCGGCAUGCUUUACACAUGCAAGUCGAGCGGCAGCGCGGGGGCAACCCUGGCGGCGAGCGGCGAACGGGUGAGUAAUGCAUCGGAACGUGUCCCGUAGUGGGGGAUAACCCGGCGAAAGCCGGACUAAUACCGCAUAUGCUCUACGGAGGAAAGCGGGGGAUUCGCAAGAACCUCGCGCUAUGGGAGCGGCCGAUGUCCGAUUAGCUUGUUGGUGGGGUAAAGGCUUACCAAGGCGACGAUCGGUAGCUGGUCUGAGAGGAUGAUCAGCCACACUGGGACUGAGACACGGCCCAGACUCCUACGGGAGGCAGCAGUGGGGAAUUUUGGACAAUGGGGGCAACCCUGAUCCAGCCAUGCCGCGUGCGGGAAGAAGGCCUUCGGGUUGUAAACCGCUUUUGUCCGGAAAGAAAAGACGCCUCCUAAUACGGGGCGUUCUUGACGGUACCGGAAGAAUAAGCACCGGCUAACUACGUGCCAGCAGCCGCGGUA
This 521-nucleotide ribosomal RNA is filed under the name uncultured Pseudomonadota bacterium. RNAcentral's name for it is "bacterial SSU rRNA". It matches the Rfam family "Bacterial small subunit ribosomal RNA", at positions 8 to 522 of the family's 1533-position model. The record is from RNAcentral. Lineage: Bacteria; Pseudomonadati; Pseudomonadota.